Molecule: ribosomal RNA, 274 nt
Filed under: uncultured bacterium
Lineage: Bacteria
Description: partial 16S ribosomal RNA
Rfam family: Bacterial small subunit ribosomal RNA
Source: RNAcentral
CUACGGAGGGAGCAAGCGUUAUUCGGAAUCACUGGGCGUAAAGGACGCGUAGGCGGGAAGCCAAGUCUGAUGGGAAAUCCUAUGGCUUAACCAUAGAACUGCAUUGGAAACUGGUUACCUAGAGUAUGGGAGGGGGAGAUGGAAUUAGUGGUGUAGGGGUAAAAUCCGUAGAUAUCACUAGGAAUACCGAAAGCGAAGGCGAUCUCCUGGAACAAUACUGACGCUAAGGCGUGAAAGCGUGGGGAGCAAACGGGAUUAGAAACCCCAGUAGUCC